RNAcentral lists this long non-coding RNA (1140 nucleotides) under Gopherus agassizii (Agassiz's desert tortoise). RNAcentral describes it as "lncRNA (ENSGAGG00000019435.1)". Lineage: Eukaryota; Metazoa; Chordata; Testudines; Testudinidae. The record is from RNAcentral.
CUUGAGCUGUAUAAAGCUUUAUAAUGGAAUUGUGCUUUGAAGAUAGCUGAAUUUUUGUACUAAUGUAAUUAUUAUUUUUUUACAGAAACCAUGGAUUGGGGCUCCAUUGUGGUAGGCACUGUACACACAUGUCUUUAAAAGAUAGUUCCUGCCCCAAAGAGUUUACAAUCUAAAUUAAACCAGGACACAACAGGUGGACAAAGCAAUGAGUGGGUGGGAUGGAGGAAGGAUAGAAGUGGAGAAUGAGUUAACAAUUAAACAAGUGUAUCUGAGCACAAUGAGCAUUAGUUCACCACCUGCCUCGCCAUUAUUGGCUCUCAAUGUCUCGAAAACGUGAUGGAUAAGUUCAUGCCUAGGUGGAUUUCACUGGAGAGUUUUUCCUAUAGUUAUGAAGGCACAUAGGUGAAAGAAUGGAAGCAUUUGUGAAAAAGCUGAAAUGCAGUGGAAGCUGAGAAUGUUGGUUGAGUUUGGAUAGUGAUUGAUGCCACAAUGAGUUAAUAGACAAACUGGACAGCUUGGGGAUAAGUUAUAAGAUCACUUAAUGUUGAAUCACCAGCUGAAGUUUUGGUAUGGUCUUCCUAGCCUGGAGGUGAUCAAGCCUUGCAGUACUGUGACUGGGUCAGCAUUUAAGAUGAAAGAGUCAUAAAGUUCAGCACCAGAAGGGACCACUAGAUUAUCUAGUCUGACUUCCUGUAUCUCACAGGCCACCAACACUACCCAGCACCUGAACACUAAAUCCAACAACUGAAAAGGCACAAUCUCUUGGCUUUCCAAAAAGUGAAAGAAGACAUCCUUCUGGCCUGUAUCUUCAGACACAGACUCGGACAAAUAACCCUUAAAUGAAAAAAGUGUUUAAAAAAACCAACAGCAAAAACACCUGUGUGAUGUUACAGUGUGUGUUAACGCUACAUGCUGUUUUCAGUCUCAUCUUUCUGUAACCAUAUUCUUGUCCACUUGAUUCAACAAGAAAAGUCACAACAUGAUACACAGAGCCUGCAACACAUCAAAAAUGGGUCCUCACCUGACACUCCUAAGACAAUUUGCCCAGCGCAAGGAAGCAAAGUUGGUCCAAUAAAAGGUAUUACCUCACUCACCUUGCAUGUGUCAGAUGAAGAAAACAACCAGAGUGCCAACAAGAAU